ACUCCUACGGGAGGCAGCAGUGGGGAAUAUUGCACAAUGGCGCAAGCCUGAUGCAGCCAUGCCGCGUGUGUGAAGAAGCCUCGGGUUGUAAAGCACUUUCAGUUGUGAGGAAAGUUAGUCGCUAAUAUCGGNUAGCUGUGACGUUAGCAACAGAAGAAGCACCGGCUAACUCCGUGCCAGCAGCCGCGGUAAUACGGAGGGUGCGAGCGUUAAUCGGAAUUACUGGGCGUAAAGCGCGUGUAGGUGGCUUGUUAAGCCAGAUGUGAAA
Molecule: ribosomal RNA, 268 nt
Filed under: uncultured bacterium
Lineage: Bacteria
Description: partial 16S ribosomal RNA
Rfam family: Bacterial small subunit ribosomal RNA
Source: RNAcentral